RNAcentral lists this ribosomal RNA (497 nucleotides) under uncultured bacterium. RNAcentral describes it as "partial 16S ribosomal RNA". It matches the Rfam family "Bacterial small subunit ribosomal RNA", at positions 28 to 507 of the family's 1533-position model. The record is from RNAcentral.
GAUGAACGCUGGCGGCGUGCCUAAUACAUGCAAGUCGAGCGAACGGACGAGAAGCUUGCUUCUCUGAUGUUAGCGGCGGACGGGUGAGUAACACGUGGAUAACCUACCUAUAAGACUGGGAUAACUUCGGGAAACCGGAGCUAAUACCGGAUAAUAUUUUGAACCGCAUGGUUCAAAAGUGAAAGACGGUCUUGCUGUCACUUAUAGAUGGAUCCGCGCUGCAUUAGCUAGUUGGUAAGGUAACGGCUUACCAAGGCAACGAUGCAUAGCCGACCUGAGAGGGUGAUCGGCCACACUGGAACUGAGACACGGUCCAGACUCCUACGGGAGGCAGCAGUAGGGAAUCUUCCGCAAUGGGCGAAAGCCUGACGGAGCAACGCCGCGUGAGUGGUGAAGGUCUUCGGAUCGUAAAACUCUGUUAUUAGGGAAGAACAGAUGUGUAAGUAACUGUGCACAUCUUGACGGUACCUAAUCAGAAAGCCACGGCUAACUACGUG